This 314-nucleotide long non-coding RNA is filed under the name Physcomitrium patens. Its description in RNAcentral is "long non-coding RNA (PPAT_LNC001507)". Lineage: Eukaryota; Viridiplantae; Streptophyta; Bryopsida; Funariales; Funariaceae. The record is from RNAcentral.
AUUGUGAAUUUUGUGGGUGGGUGUGCAUGGAUUUUGAAUUGUGAAUGAUAGUCAUUGGGUCUUAAAACACGUUUCAUUGUGGUGAAUAGCUCCCUUGGCCUCUCAAUUACUCCAAGGGUUUCAAGAGCCUCAGAUUUCCCUCCAUCAGUCAUUCAAUUGUUUUAUUUCCAAUGUGAUUUUUUUUGUGGUUGUAUCUUUUGUUGUUAGCUUUCCAAAAAGAUAAGGCUCGCUCCAUUUGGAGUUGAACUGAAUUUUUGGUGAAAUUUUGAGUUUAAGGGGGUCGACUGCCUUUGCAGUUUGGAUUAAUCCAGUUU